AUUGAACGCUGGCGGCAGGCCUAACACAUGCAAGUCGAACGAGUGGCGGACGGGUGAGUAAUGUCUGGGAAACUGCCUGAUGGAGGGGGAUAACUACUGUAAACGGUAGCUAAUACCGCAUACUAUCAGAUGUGCCCAGAGGGGAUUAGCUUGUUGGGGGGGUAACGGCUCACCAAGGCGCCGAUCCCUAGCUGGUCUGAGAGGAUGACCAGCCACACUGGAACUGGGCCACGGGCCAGACUCAUACGGGAGGCAGACGGGGGGAAUAUUGGACAAUGGGCGAAAGCCGGAUGCAGCAAGGCCGCGUGUAUGAAGAAGGCUUUCGGGUUGUAAAGUACUUUCAGCGGGGAGGCGUUACCCGCAGAAGAAGCACCGGCUAACUCCGUGCCAGCAGCCGCGGUAAUAC
RNAcentral lists this ribosomal RNA (406 nucleotides) under uncultured bacterium. RNAcentral's name for it is "partial 16S ribosomal RNA". It matches the Rfam family "Bacterial small subunit ribosomal RNA", at positions 29 to 526 of the family's 1533-position model. The record is from RNAcentral.